AAUCAACGCUGGCGGCGUGCCUAACACAUGCAAGUCGUGCGCGAAAGGGGCUUCGGCCCUGAGUAGAGCGGCAAACGGGUGAGUAACACGUGGGUGACCUGCCUUCGAGUGGGGGAUAACGUCCCGAAAGGGACGCUAAUACCGCAUGACAUCCUGCCUUUGGAGAGGCGGAGAUCAAAGCCGGGGAUCGCAAGACCUGGCGCUUGAAGAGGGGCCCGCGCCUGAUUAGCUAGUUGGUGAGGUAAUGGCUCACCAAGGCGACGAUCAGUAGCCGGCCUGAGAGGGCGGACGGCCACACUGGGACUGAGACACGGCCCAGACUCCUACGGGAGGCAGCAGUGGGGAAUUGUUCGCAAUGGGCGCAAGCCUGACGACGCAACGCCGCGUGGAGGACGAAGAUCUUCGGGUCGUAAACUCCUGUCGAGCGGGAAAAAUACCACUCUGGUGAAUAACCGGAGAGGUUGAUGGUACCGCUAAAGGAAGCCCCGGCUAACUCCGUGCCAGCAGCCGCGGUAAUACGGGGGGGGCAAGCGUUGUUCGGAAUUACUGGGCGUAAAGGGCUCGUAGGCGGCCAACUAAGUCAGACGUGAAAUCCCCAGGCUCAACUUGGGAACUGCGUCUGAUACUGGAUGGCUUGAAUUCGGGAGAGGGAUGCAGAAUUCCAGGUGUAGCGGUGAAAUGCGUAGAUAUCUGGAGGAAUACCGGUGGCGAAGGCGGCAUCCUGGACCGACAUUGACGCUGAGGAGCGAAAGCUAGGGGAGCAAACGGGAUUAGAUACCCCGGUAGUCCUAGCCCUAAACGAUGAAUGCUUGGUGUGACGGGUAUCGAUCCCUGUCGUGCCGAAGCUAACGCAUUAAGCAUUCCGCCUGGGGAGUACGGUCCAAGGCUGAAACUCAAAGGAAUUGACGGGGGCCCGCCAAACCGGUGGAA
Molecule: ribosomal RNA, 930 nt
Filed under: uncultured bacterium
Lineage: Bacteria
Description: bacterial SSU rRNA
Rfam family: Bacterial small subunit ribosomal RNA
Source: RNAcentral